This 271-nucleotide unclassified non-coding RNA is filed under the name Hevea brasiliensis (rubber tree). The record is from RNAcentral. Lineage: Eukaryota; Viridiplantae; Streptophyta; Magnoliopsida; Malpighiales; Euphorbiaceae.
AAGCACACCACUAUCCGAUGACUAGAAUUUUUAAUUGAAGUCCAUAUUGAUUGAUUCACAGAUACAUGAUCCUCCUACAUCAGCAUUUUCAGUUCAACUGUUCAAACUUAUAGCUGAAUAUGUAAUUGAGACAGAGGUCAUAUGCUUGAAUUAUCUUUGGGCUGAAACUGAGUUUGUGUUUGCUUUGUCAAAUAUUUAUGGAUCCCUUCAUCUCAUUCCUUAUCUCUUUCUUAUUCAUAGCAACAUGUAGGGAUAAAAAACACACCACUAU